RNAcentral lists this ribosomal RNA (139 nucleotides) under uncultured bacterium. RNAcentral describes it as "partial 16S ribosomal RNA". It matches the Rfam family "Bacterial small subunit ribosomal RNA", at positions 355 to 511 of the family's 1533-position model. The record is from RNAcentral.
UGGGGAAUAUUGGACAAUGGGCGAAAGCCUGAUCCAGCAAUGCCGCGUGUGUGAAGAAGGUCUUCGGAUUGUAAAGCACUUUCGACGGGGACGAUGAUGACGGUACCCGUAGAAGAAGCCCCGGCUAACUUCGUGCCAA